This 67-nucleotide transfer RNA is filed under the name Loliolus beka. Its description in RNAcentral is "tRNA-Cys". Lineage: Eukaryota; Metazoa; Mollusca; Cephalopoda; Myopsida; Loliginidae. The record is from RNAcentral.
AAGUUUCAAUGGUUACACCAUAUCCUCAAGUUUGCAACUUAAUAUUUUUAUAAUAAACUAUGAAACC